CGGAGGGAUCAUUACCGAGUUUACAACUCCCAAACCCCUGUGAACAUACCACUUGUUGCCUCGGCGGAUCAGCCCGCUCCCGGUAAAACGGGACGGCCCGCCAGAGGACCCCUAAACUCUGUUUCUAUAUGUAACUUCUGAGUAAAACCAUAAAUAAAUCAAAACUUUCAACAACGGAUCUCUUGGUUCUGGCAUCGAUGAAGAACGCAGCAAAAUGCGAUAAGUAAUGUGAAUUGCAGAAUUCAGUGAAUCAUCGAAUCUUUGAACGCACAUUGCGCCCGCCAGUAUUCUGGCGGGCAUGCCUGUUCGAGCGUCAUUUCAACCCUCAAGCACAGCUUGGUGUUGGGACUCGCGUUAAUUCGCGUUCCCCAAAUUGAUUGGCGGUCACGUCGAGCUUCCAUAGCGUAGUAGUAAAACCCUCGUUACUGGUAAUCGUCGCGGCCACGCCGUUAAACCCCAACUUCUGAAUGUUGACCUCGGAUCAGGUAGGAAUACCCGCUGAACUUAAGCAUAUCAAUAAGCGGAGGAAAAGAAACCAACAGGGAUUGCCCUAGUAACGGCGAGUGAAGCGGCAACAGCUCAAAUUUGAAAUCUGGCUCUCGGGCCCGAGUUGUAAUUUGUAGAGGAUACUUUUGAUGCGGUGCCUUCCGAGUUCCCUGGAACGGGACGCCAUAGAGGGUGAGAGCCCCGUCUGGUUGGAUGCCAAAUCUCUGUAAAGUUCCUUCAACGAGUCGAGUAGUUUGGGAAUGCUGCUCUAAAUGGGAGGUAUAUGUCUUCUAAAGCUAAAUACCGGGC
This 795-nucleotide ribosomal RNA is filed under the name fungal sp. RNAcentral describes it as "eukaryotic LSU rRNA". The stretch from base 472 to 795 matches the Rfam family "Eukaryotic large subunit ribosomal RNA", at positions 1 to 328 of the family's 3401-position model. Lineage: Eukaryota; Fungi. The record is from RNAcentral.